UGGGGAAUCUUGCGCAAUGGGCGACAGCCUGACGCAGCAACGCCGCGUGGGGGAAGAAGGCUUUCGGGUCGUAAACCCCUUUCAGGAGGGACGAAGCUUCGGGAGUGAAUAGCUCUCCGGAGUGACGGUACCUCCACAAGAAGCCCCGGCUAACUACGUGCCAGCAGCCGCGGUAAUACGUAGGGGGCUAGCGUUGUCCGGAAUCAUUGGGCGUAAAGAGCGCGUAGGCGGCCAGAUAAGUCCGGUGUGAAAGUCACAGGCUCAACCUGUGAAUGCCGCUGGAAACUGUCUGGCUAGAGUCCGGGAGGGGCGAGUGGAAUUCCUGGUGUAGCGGUGAAAUGCGCAGAUAUCAGGAGGAACACCAAUGGCGAAGGCAGCUCGCUGGAACGGUACUGACGCUGAGGCGCGAAAGCGUGGGGAGCAAACAGG
Molecule: ribosomal RNA, 429 nt
Filed under: uncultured bacterium
Lineage: Bacteria
Description: bacterial SSU rRNA
Rfam family: Bacterial small subunit ribosomal RNA
Source: RNAcentral